This 172-nucleotide ribosomal RNA is filed under the name Trichoderma viride. RNAcentral's name for it is "internal transcribed spacer 1 (ITS1)". The record is from RNAcentral. Lineage: Eukaryota; Fungi; Ascomycota; Sordariomycetes; Hypocreales; Hypocreaceae.
GUGAAUCACCGGGGUAGCCACUCUGUGGCCCCCAAACCUUCACUUUCCACACACACCUGUGCACCCGGUGGUGGGGGGUUCUUGUAAUAGAGCUCCCUCUGCUGCCUAUCUAUCACAUACCCUGAGUAUUAUGGAUGUCAGUGUAUACUUGCCUUUUUGGCAGAACUAAACA